Molecule: ribosomal RNA, 1342 nt
Filed under: Escherichia coli
Lineage: Bacteria; Pseudomonadati; Pseudomonadota; Gammaproteobacteria; Enterobacterales; Enterobacteriaceae
Description: partial 23S ribosomal RNA
Rfam family: Bacterial large subunit ribosomal RNA
Source: RNAcentral
AGCUCGAUGAGUAGGGCGGGACACGUGGUAUCCUGUCUGAAUAUGGGGGGACCAUCCUCCAAGGCUAAAUACUCCUGACUGACCGAUAGUGAACCAGUACCGUGAGGGAAAGGCGAAAAGAACCCCGGCGAGGGGAGUGAAAAAGAACCUGAAACCGUGUACGUACAAGCAGUGGGAGCACAGAGCAAUCUGUGUGACUGCGUACCUUUUGUAUAAUGGGUCAGCGACUUAUAUUCUGUAGCAAGGUUAACCGAAUAGGGGAGCCGAAGGGAAACCGAGUCUUAACUGGGCGUUAAGUUGCAGGGUAUAGACCCGAAACCCGGUGAUCUAGCCAUGGGCAGGUUGAAGGUUGGGUAACACUAACUGGAGGACCGAACCGACUAAUGUUGAAAAAUUAGCGGAUGACUUGUGGCUGGGGGUGAAAGGCCAAUCAAACCGGGAGAUAGCUGGUUCUCCCCGAAAGCUAUUUAGGUAGCGCCUCGUGAAUUCAUCUCCGGGGGUAGAGCACUGUUUCGGCAAGGGGGUCAUCCCGACUUACCAACCCGAUGCAAACUGCGAAUACCGGAGAAUGUUAUCACGGGAGACACACGGCGGGUGCUAACGUCCGUCGUGAAGAGGGAAACAACCCAGACCGCCAGCUAAGGUCCCAAAGUCAUGGUUAAGUGGGAAACGAUGUGGGAAGGCCCAGACAGCCAGGAUGUUGGCUUAGAAGCAGCCAUCAUUUAAAGAAAGCGUAAUAGCUCACUGGUCGAGUCGGCCUGCGCGGAAGAUGUAACGGGGCUAAACCAUGCACCGAAGCUGCGGCAGCGACGCUUAUGCGUUGUUGGGUAGGGGAGCGUUCUGUAAGCCUGUGAAGGUGUGCUGUGAGGCAUGCUGGAGGUAUCAGAAGUGCGAAUGCUGACAUAAGUAACGAUAAAGCGGGUGAAAAGCCCGCUCGCCGGAAGACCAAGGGUUCCUGUCCAACGUUAAUCGGGGCAGGGUGAGUCGACCCCUAAGGCGAGGCCGAAAGGCGUAGUCGAUGGGAAACAGGUUAAUAUUCCUGUACUUGGUGUUACUGCGAAGGGGGGACGGAGAAGGCUAUGUUGGCCGGGCGACGGUUGUCCCGGUUUAAGCGUGUAGGCUGGUUUUCCAGGCAAAUCCGGAAAAUCAAGGCUGAGGCGUGAUGACGAGGCACUACGGUGCUGAAGCAACAAAUGCCCUGCUUCCAGGAAAAGCCUCUAAGCAUCAGGUAACAUCAAAUCGUACCCCAAACCGACACAGGUGGUCAGGUAGAGAAUACCAAGGCGCUUGAGAGAACUCGGGUGAAGGAACUAGGCAAAAUGGUGCCGUAACUUCGGGAGAA